RNAcentral lists this ribosomal RNA (253 nucleotides) under uncultured bacterium. RNAcentral's name for it is "partial 16S ribosomal RNA". It matches the Rfam family "Bacterial small subunit ribosomal RNA", at positions 524 to 776 of the family's 1533-position model. The record is from RNAcentral.
GACGAACCGUGCGACCGUUGUUCGGAAUCACUGGGCUUAAAGGGCGCGUAGGCGGCUCAUCAAGUCCGGGGUGAAAGCCCCCAGCUUAACUGGGGAAGUGCCUCGGAUACUGGUGAACUGGAGGGAGGUAGGGGCGGAUGGAACUUCCGGUGGAGCGGUGAAAUGCGUUGAUAUCGGAAGGAACGCCGGUGGCGAAAGCGAUCCGCUGGACCUCUACUGACGCUGAGGCGCGAAAGCCAGGGGAGCAAACGGG